AGAGUAAUAGCUCAGUGGUAGAGCACAUGCUUAGCAUGCAUGACAUCCUGGGCUCAAUCCCCAGCAUCUCCA
Molecule: transfer RNA, 72 nt
Filed under: Camelus bactrianus (Bactrian camel)
Lineage: Eukaryota; Metazoa; Chordata; Mammalia; Artiodactyla; Camelidae
Also listed under: 2 other names
Rfam family: tRNA
About the family: Transfer RNA (tRNA) molecules are approximately 80 nucleotides in length. Their secondary structure includes four short double-helical elements and three loops (D, anti-codon, and T loops).
Source: Rfam by way of RNAcentral